UACGGAGGGGGCUAGCGUUGUUCGGAAUUACUGGGCGUAAAGGGCGCGUAGGCGGUGUGUCAAGUCAGGCGUGAAAGCCCCGGGCUCAACCUGGGAACCGCGCUUGAGACUGGCACGCUCGAGUUCGGGAGAGGAUGGUGGAAUUCCCAGUGUAGAGGUGAAAUUCGUAGAUAUUGGGAAGAACACCGAUGGCGAAGGCAGCCAUCUGGACCGACACUGACGCUGAGGAGCGAAAGCGUGGGGAGCAAACAGG
This 253-nucleotide ribosomal RNA is filed under the name uncultured bacterium. RNAcentral's name for it is "partial 16S ribosomal RNA". It matches the Rfam family "Bacterial small subunit ribosomal RNA", at positions 524 to 776 of the family's 1533-position model. The record is from RNAcentral.